This 53-nucleotide microRNA precursor is filed under the name Parasteatoda tepidariorum (common house spider). Its description in RNAcentral is "microRNA pte-mir-11955 precursor". The record is from miRBase by way of RNAcentral. Lineage: Eukaryota; Metazoa; Arthropoda; Arachnida; Araneae; Theridiidae.
CUGUACGAGAGGACCUUCUGAACAGAGACUGUUCAGAAGGUCCUCUCGUACAG